Molecule: long non-coding RNA, 2659 nt
Organism: Ostrea edulis (European flat oyster)
Lineage: Eukaryota; Metazoa; Mollusca; Bivalvia; Ostreida; Ostreidae
Exons: 4
Source: RefSeq, a predicted model, not a curated record
AGUCGAUGAAAGCCCUCGUGCAGGCUCGCUCAGCCAUAACGAGAGCCUCCUCAUGCCGAUUCAUUGACACCAGUACACGCUGUCAUAAGGAGAUUAUAUAAAAUUUCCACCCUGAUCCAGCAGACUUAUCACGAGAAAAGUUGAAUCCCCACUACACGAGAGUGCCUGCAUGUCAACUUCACCACAUGGAAACUGUGCCUUUGUAGUUCUUGGGGUUAUUUCGGGAGACUUUUUUCCUAUAUUCCUAUGUAACCCCUAUUCUGGCCCUGUCCUGGUCAGGGGGCUUAAGGUUUGAACAAACUUGUAGAAGGAAUAUUUCAUGUAAGUUUGGCCUUUUCUGGUAGAGUGGCUCUUGAGAAAAUUAUAUUUUAUGAACGUAUGUCCUUAAUUUUCAAUAUUUCUUAAUUAUUUGAACAAACUUGAAUCACCUUUCCCAAAGGCCAUUUUAUUGCAGCUUUUAUUAACGUUAGCCUAGUGGUUCUGAGGAAGAAGUCACAAAUGUCAAAAGUUAACAAUCAACAUAUGACUCAGAUUUGUAACAGGAGGGGAGAAAAUGCAGCAGACCAGACUGGCAUGGGAUUCAAAUCUGGGCCCUUUGAAUCUCUGGUCAGAUGCUCUACCAACAGAGCUAUCUGGCCAUUGGCGAGUGAACCCAUCUGACAGCCACAUUCUUCCUUCCUUAAAUUCCUUCAUACCUUGAAGAACAUCAACCCAGGAUCUUUAUCCCCUAGCAGGUAUUUUCACCUGUCAGUUCCAGGGGUUGGUCUAUGGCACCAAAUGUAACAUUGGAAAUGAGAAAAUGUAUGGUUGGACCGGGAAUCGAACCUAGGACUCCUGCAUUACUAGUCAGGUGCUCUAACCACUGAACUAUACCCAUGCCCUUAUCCACGGUCCAUAUAAGUCCUAACGACUACAUUUACACUAUUUUUACAUACCUUUGAGUGGAGACUUGAGUGCUGCGUCAAUAAGACCCGUUAUGAGGGUAUCAAAAUAUUAAUGUGCGUCUCUUCCAUCACAUAAUGAAAAGUUACAUCCAUGAACUGCAAUUUCAUGCAUCCAUAUCAUGACAGGAUUAACCUCAUUCCGGACAAUGAUUAACAAACAGGAAGACAAGAACAGUGACCAGGCACCUGUAACUGGACAGUCAUGUCCAAUCUCCAUCAUAAAGCUGUCAGAAAUUGUCCACCAUGGUGAACCUGAUUCAUGUUUUCCCAUCAGUUCUCUGUGUGGACCCACUGUUCCACAGUGUCAUUCAUACAAGACCAUCAAGACCCGCACAACACCAGUUUUUAUUGACCAAUCAAAUAGGGUGUUAUCUGCAGAGGUGUUCUCCAAACAAUGUCUGGAUGAUGGUCUGAAGACCACAAAAACCAUAUGUCCUGUUAUAUUGUAGGACAAUUGCUCCCAUAAAAGAACUCCCUACAUUGUGUACAUAUUUUAAUGAUCUGCAAAUAUCAAUAUUAUUGCACAUGCCAUUAAUGACAAGAUCCAUCUUGCUGUUACCCAUUAAUCAGUUCAAUAUGUGUACCUUAACCUUUUAGGACAAAAUGUUGCUAAAGCAGUGACUCAUUUCUUCAAUAUUUUCAUUUAACAGAUUGUGACAGCCAUUUUUACCUCAACAACUUACAAAACAAAAGGAUAGUGACAAGUAAAAGAUAAACAGCUGUGUUGCAAUCAUGUAUUAGAGAUCAAAAGGUCCAAUAACUAAAUCUAUCAUCAUCAUGGUCAUCUUUAAAUAUAUAGUUUCAAAAGAUCAAGUUGCAUUACUGCAAGCUGUUGUAGGUCGAAAACUCAAAACACCUUUCAAAAUCCAUAUAUUUGUGCAAACUAGUUGGAAAAAUCAACAAGGUGAAAAGAGCUCAAAUCAUCUGUAUUAAAUUUCUAGUGCAAUUUACCAUAGCUUUUUUCACCACAAAAGAGGAUACACCUAUAUAACUGCCACCCAUGACUUUUUUUUCUUUUCAUUGCUAACAGAGCACACAAAAAAUCAUUAUAAAAUGAUUGGAUCUAUAUCAGACAAAUAGGAAUGGAAUACAAAAUAAUCUAAAACUUGAAUCACAAUGAAAAGAUCAAGGCAGUGCACAGUCUUCUUUAAACUGAUAGGUAUAAAAAAAGAAAUUUCAGCAACAUUAGGCACAUGCCAUAAAAGUAUAACCUCAGUGAACCAGCCGAACUUGUACAAGAACAUACCACAAAGAUCCCAAACAAAGUUCCAACACUGAGAAGCUGUAGAAAACAAGUAGGUCAGAGACAUUUCAAUUAAUACUUUCACAGACUACAAGAACAAGCAGCCAAUUCAACCUUGUGUGCACCGUGUCUUCGAAUUCGCCAAGUGACAACUGAGCUAGUUCUCUCUACUCCAUUUGAUGGAUGGCACAGAAUGAAUUUAAGAAAGUUACACAACCUCUAGACAUGUUGUGACUCUAUUCAAACAUGCAAAAUAUUAAAAGAUAUUGUCUCAAACUACAUUAAUUAUUCUCAAUUAGUCAUACAGUAUGCAAGCAGUCUAAAUAGCAACCAGAUAAUGUCUUAAGAAUGAACCAAUUUGCAUUUCUCCUAAAGAAUCACCUGAUGAUUCAAACAUUAAUUUUCUUACUAUUGUAUAUCAAAAAUUUAUUUACACAUUAUCCAUGCUUUAUCUAUGCAAUGUACAUUAUUA